Molecule: ribosomal RNA, 484 nt
Filed under: uncultured bacterium
Lineage: Bacteria
Description: partial 16S ribosomal RNA
Rfam family: Bacterial small subunit ribosomal RNA
Source: RNAcentral
AUUGAACGCUGGCGGCAGGCCUAACACAUGCAAGUCGAGCGGAUGAAGGGAGCUUGCUCCUGGAUUCAGCGGCGGACGGGUGAGUAAUGCCUAGGGAUCUGCCUGGUAGUGGGGGAUAACGUCCGGAAACGGGCGCUAAUACCGCAUACGUCCUGAGGGAGAAAGUGGGGGAUCUUCGGACCUCACGCUAUCAGAUGAGCCUAGGUCGGAUUAGCUAGUUGGUGGGGUAAAGGCCUACCAAGGCGACGAUCCGUAACUGGUCUGAGAGGAUGAUCAGUCACACUGGAACUGAGACACGGUCCAGACUCCUACGGGAGGCAGCAGUGGGGAAUAUUGGACAAUGGGCGAAAGCCUGAUCCAGCCAUGCCGCGUGUGUGAAGAAGGUCUUCGGAUUGUAAAGCACCUUAAGUUGGGAGGAAGGGCAGUAAGUUAAUACCUUGCUGUUUUGACGUUACCAACAGAAUAAGCACCGGCUAACUUCGUG